CGUCAUCGUCAUCGUCAUCGUCAUCGUCAUCGUCAUCGUCAUCGUCAUCGUCAUCGUCAUCGUCAUCGUCAUCGUCAUCGUCAUCGUCAUCGUCAUCGUCAUCGUCAUCGUCAUCGUCAUCGUCAUCGUCAUCGUCAUCGUCAUCGUCAUCGUCAUCGUCAUCGUCAUCGUCAUCGUCCUCGUCCUCGUCCUCGUCCUCGUCCUCGUCCUCGUCCUCGUCCUCGUCCUCGUCCUCGUCCUCUUCCCCGUCCUCGUCCUCGUCCUCGUCCUCGUCCUCGUCCUCGUCCUCGUCCUCGUCGUCUCGUCGUCGUCGUCGUCUCGUCGUCCUCGUCCACGUCGUCGUCGUCGUC
This 350-nucleotide long non-coding RNA is filed under the name Helianthus annuus (common sunflower). RNAcentral describes it as "hypothetical non coding rna". Lineage: Eukaryota; Viridiplantae; Streptophyta; Magnoliopsida; Asterales; Asteraceae. The record is from RNAcentral.